This 1356-nucleotide ribosomal RNA is filed under the name uncultured organism. Its description in RNAcentral is "bacterial SSU rRNA". It matches the Rfam family "Bacterial small subunit ribosomal RNA", at positions 93 to 1451 of the family's 1533-position model. The record is from RNAcentral.
GAGCGGCGCACAGGGAGAGUAACGCGUGGAUACCUGCCCCGUAGGUCCGCGGAUAGCCCAUCGAAAGGUGGGGUAAUACCGGAUAACAUCUCCGGAUCAAAGGUGUGAUUCCGCCUCGGGAUGGGUCCGCGUCCUAUUAGCUUGUUGGUGGGGUAAUGGCCUACCAAGGCGACGAUCGGUAGUGCGCGUUAGCGCGUGGCCCGCCUCACUGGGACUGAGACACUGCCCAGACACCUACUGGUGGCUGCAGUCGACAAUCUUCGGCAAUGGGCGCAAGCCUGACCGAGCGACGCCGCGUGCGGGAUGAAGGCCUUCGGGUUGUAAACCGCUGUCAGAGGGGAGGAAGGGUCCGUGAAGAGCGGAACUUGACCUAUCCUCAGACGAAGUGCGGGCUAAGUUCGUGCCAGCAGCCGCGGUAAGACGAACCGCACAAACGUUGUUCGGAAUCACUGGGCUUAAAGGGUGCGUAGGCGGCCGUUCAAGUCGGGUGUGAAAGCCCUCAGCUUAACUGAGGAAUUGCGCCCGAUACUGUUCGGCUUGAGGGAGACAGAGGUGAGCGGAACUUGCGGUGGAGCGGUGAAAUGCGUUGAUAUCGCAAGGAACACCAGUAGCGAAAGCGGCUCACUGGGUCUCUUCUGACGCUGAGGCACGAAAGCUAGGGUAGCGAAGAGGAUUAGAUACCCUCGUAGUCCUAGCUGUAAACGCUGAGCACUGGAUUGGAGGGUCCUCCAUAGCCUUCCGGUCGUAGCGAAAGUGUUAAGUGACUCCGCCUGGGGAGUAUGGUCGCAAGGUUGAAACUCAAAGGAAUUGAUGGGGGCUCACACAAGCGGUGGAGGAUGUGGCUUAAUUCGAGGCUACGCGAAGAACCUUAUCCUGGAUUUGACAUGCAUGGAUUAACCCCUGGAAACAGGGGCCACGCCCUCGGGUGGAACAUGCACAGGUGCUGCAUGGCUGUCGUCAGCUCGUGUCGUGAGAUGUCGGGUUAAGUCCCUUAACGAGCGAAACCCUUGUCGUUAGUUGCCAGCGGGUCAUGCCGGGGACUCUAACGAGACUGCCGGUGUUAAACCGGAGGAAGGUGGGGAUGACGUCAAGUCCUCAUGGCCUUUAUGUCCAGGGCUGCAAACGUCCUACAAUGGCGUGCACAAAGGGAAGCGAACUCGCGAGAGCAAGCAAAUCCCAAAAAUCACGCCCCAGUUCGAAUUGCAGGCUGCAAACUCGCCUGCAUGAAGCCGGAAUCGCUAGUAAUCGCGGGUCAGCAUACCGCGGUGAAUGUGUUCUUGAGCCUGUACACACCGCCCGUCAAGCCACGUAAGUGGGGGGCCGGCGAAGUCGCCGAGCUAACCCGUAAGGGAAGCA